AUAUUUGACUUGGUUCAACAUGCAGUAGUAGGUAGGAGCUGGGCUUACCAGGACUGCGAGUCCAGCGGCUCAUUGUUCUCAUCUUUUCACCUCAAAAAUCCAUGCUACACUUUGGGGCCAUGGAUGCAGUGUUAGAGUGAUGGUGAAAUCCCACUGUUUGGUCAGAUAAGAGAAGCCUGAGGCUGUGGGCUUUACUGCUACUGGACUAAAUACAUAUCAUACAGAACCAGGAAAAGUAGGCAAAAUUUUCUGUGAUACCUGUGGAAAACAGUAUUCAUCAAAAAAGUCUUUGUCGGCACACCGACACCAUCAGCACAGGA
Molecule: long non-coding RNA, 320 nt
Filed under: Limulus polyphemus (Atlantic horseshoe crab)
Lineage: Eukaryota; Metazoa; Arthropoda; Merostomata; Xiphosura; Limulidae
Description: uncharacterized LOC111089278, transcript variant X1
Source: RNAcentral